AAAGUGCUAUCACAGAGAUUAACAGUACUAAAGUAGUCACACUGACUGCACAGAAUGAGGAGGUACAGUAAAUGCACCCCAUAUACACCUCAAUCCAGGCCCUAUGCCUGGUCUGUAUUGUGAAUUGGGGGACAAAA
Molecule: small nucleolar RNA, 137 nt
Organism: Suncus etruscus (white-toothed pygmy shrew)
Lineage: Eukaryota; Metazoa; Chordata; Mammalia; Eulipotyphla; Soricidae
Product: small nucleolar RNA SNORA51
Exons: 1
Source: RefSeq, a predicted model, not a curated record